Molecule: ribosomal RNA, 457 nt
Filed under: uncultured bacterium
Lineage: Bacteria
Description: partial 16S ribosomal RNA
Rfam family: Bacterial small subunit ribosomal RNA
Source: RNAcentral
AUGACGGCCUUCGGGUUGUAAACCUCUUUCGCAGGGAAGAAGCGAGAGUGACGGUACCUGCAGAAGAAGCGCCGGCUAACUACGUGCCAGCAGCCGCGGUAAUACGUUAGGGCGCAAGCGUUUGUCCGGAAUUAUUGGGCGUGAAGANCUUCGUAGGCGGCUUUGUUGCNGUCGGUUUGUGAAANCCCCGGGGCUUUAACCCCCGGGUUUUGCAGUUCGAAUACGGGCAGGCUUAGAGUUUCGGUUAGGGGANAAUCGGANNNUCNUGGUUGUUAGCCGGUUGAGANUGCCGCCAGAAUNUCAGGGAGGGAAACACCCGGUUGGCGAAANGCCGGAUNUUUUGGGCCCGACUACUUGACGCUUGAAGGAACCGAAAAGCCUUGGGGGAGCCGAAACAGGAANNAGAAUCCCUUGGUUAGUUCCAAGGGGCCGAAAAUCNAGCACAAAGGGCCGGCCG